GACGAACGCUGGCGGCGUGCUUAACACAUGCAAGUCGAACGGAAAGGCCCUGCUUGCAGGGUACUCGAGUGGCGAACGGGUGAGUAACACGUGGGUGAUCUGCCCUGCACUUCGGGAUAAGCCUGGGAAACUGGGUCUAAUACCGGAUAGGAGCCAUUUUGAGUGUGAUGGUUGGAAAGUUUUUUCGGUGUAGGAUGAGCUCGCGGCCUAUCAGCUUGUUGGUGGGGUAAUGGCCUACCAAGGCGGCGACGGGUAGCCGGCCUGAGAGGGUGGACGGCCACAUUGGGACUGAGCUACGGCCCAGACUCCUACGGGAGGCAGCAGUGGGGAAUAUUGCACAAUGGGCGAAAGCCUGAUGCAGCGACGCCGCGGGGGGGAUGACGGCCUUCGGGUUGUAAACUCCUUUCGCUAGGGACGAAGCUUUUUGUGACGGUACCUAGAGAAGAAGCACCGGCUAACUACGUG
RNAcentral lists this ribosomal RNA (465 nucleotides) under uncultured bacterium. RNAcentral describes it as "partial 16S ribosomal RNA". It matches the Rfam family "Bacterial small subunit ribosomal RNA", at positions 28 to 507 of the family's 1533-position model. The record is from RNAcentral.